CGGACGGGUGAGUAACACGUGGAUAACCUACCUAUAAGACUGGGAUAACUUCGGGAAACCGGAGUUAAUACCGGAUAAUAUUUUGAACCGCAUGGUUCAAAAGUGAAAGACGGUCUUGCUGUCACUUAUAGAUGGAUCCGCGCUGCAUUAGCUAGUUGGUAAGGUAACGGCUUACCAAGGCAACGAUGCAUAGCCGACCUGAGAGGGUGAUCGGCCACACUGGAACUGAGACACGGUCCAG
Molecule: ribosomal RNA, 241 nt
Filed under: uncultured Staphylococcus sp.
Lineage: Bacteria; Bacillati; Bacillota; Bacilli; Caryophanales; Staphylococcaceae
Description: partial 16S ribosomal RNA
Rfam family: Bacterial small subunit ribosomal RNA
Source: RNAcentral